RNAcentral lists this ribosomal RNA (230 nucleotides) under uncultured bacterium. RNAcentral's name for it is "partial 16S ribosomal RNA". It matches the Rfam family "Bacterial small subunit ribosomal RNA", at positions 14 to 235 of the family's 1533-position model. The record is from RNAcentral.
GUAUCAUGGCUCAGGAUGAACGCUAGCGACAGGCUUAACACAUGCAAGUCGAGGGGCAGCAUGAUAAGUAGCAAUACUUAUUGAUGGCGACCGGCGCGCGGGUGAGUAACGCGUAUGCAACUUACCUAUCAGAGGGGAUAGCCCGGCGAAAGUCGGAUUAAUACUCCAUAAAACAGGGGUUCCGCAUGGGACUAUUUGUUAAAGAUUCAUCGCUGAUAGAUAGGCAUGCG